GGGCUGUUAGCUCAGUUGGUAGAGCAGUUGGCUUUUAACCAAUUGGUCGAAGGUUCGAAUCCUUCACAGCCCA
This 73-nucleotide transfer RNA is filed under the name Shewanella sp. Its description in RNAcentral is "tRNA-Lys". It matches the Rfam family "tRNA". From Rfam's summary of the family: Transfer RNA (tRNA) molecules are approximately 80 nucleotides in length. Their secondary structure includes four short double-helical elements and three loops (D, anti-codon, and T loops). The record is from RNAcentral. Lineage: Bacteria; Pseudomonadati; Pseudomonadota; Gammaproteobacteria; Alteromonadales; Shewanellaceae.